GCCUAAUACAUGCAAGUCGAGCGAACGGACGAGAAGCUUGCUUCUCUGAUGUUAGCGGCGGACGGGUGAGUAACACGUGGAUAACCUACCUAUAAGACUGGGAUAACUUCGGGAAACCGGAGCUAAUACCGGAUAAUAUUUUGAACCGCAUGGUUCAAAAGUGAAAGACGGUCUUGCUGUCACUUAUAGAUGGAUCCGCGCUGCAUUAGCUAGUUGGUAAGGUAACGGCUUACCAAGGCAACGAUGCAUAGCCGACCUGAGAGGGUGAUCGGCCACACUGGAACUGAGACACGGUCCAGACUCCUACGGGAGGCAGCAGUAGGGAAUCUUCCGCAAUGGGCGAAAGCCUGACGGAGCAACGCCGCGUGAGUGAUGAAGGUCUUCGGAUCGUAAAACUCUGUUAUUAGGGAAGAACAUAUGUGUAAGUAACUGUGCACAUCUUGACGGUACCUAAUCAGAAAGCCACGGCUAACUACGUGCCAGCAGCCGCGGUAAUACGU
Molecule: ribosomal RNA, 500 nt
Filed under: Staphylococcus aureus
Lineage: Bacteria; Bacillati; Bacillota; Bacilli; Caryophanales; Staphylococcaceae
Description: bacterial SSU rRNA
Rfam family: Bacterial small subunit ribosomal RNA
Source: RNAcentral